UGGGGAAUAUUGGACAAUGGGGGGAACCCUGAUCCAGCCAUGCCGCGUGUGUGAAGAAGGCCUUAUGGUUGUAAAGCACUUUAAGCGAGGAGGAGGGUACUGGUAUUAAUACUACCAGCUACUGGACGUUACUCUCAGAAUAAGCACCGGCUAACUCUGUGCCAGCAGCCGCGGUAAUACAGAGGGUGCGAGCGUUAAUCGGAUUUACUGGGCGUAAAGCGUGCGUAGGCGGCUAAUUGAGUCGGAUGUGAAAUCCCCGAGCUUAACUUGGGAAUUGCAUUCGAUACUGGUUAGCUAGAGUGUGGGAGAGGAUGGUAGAAUUCCAGGUGUAGCGGUGAAAUGCGUAGAGAUCUGGAGGAAUACCGAUGGCGAAGGCAGCCAUCUGGCCUAACACUGACGCUGAGGUACGAAAGCAUGGGGAGCAAACAGG
Molecule: ribosomal RNA, 430 nt
Filed under: Pseudomonadota bacterium
Lineage: Bacteria; Pseudomonadati; Pseudomonadota
Description: Proteobacteria bacterium partial 16S ribosomal RNA
Rfam family: Bacterial small subunit ribosomal RNA
Source: RNAcentral